GAUGAACGCUGGCGGCGUGCCUAACACAUGCAAGUCGAGCGAACGGACGAGGAUUUUGCUUGUCUGAUGUUAGCGGCGGACGGGUGAUUCACACGUGGAUAACAUACCUAUAAGAAUGGGAUAAUUACGCGGAAGCGUAUCUACUACCCGAUGAUAUUUUGAACUUCAUGGUUCAUAAGUGAAAGCCGGUCUUUCUGACACUAAUAGCUGUAUCCGAGCUGGAUGAGUUAGUGGGUAAGGUAACGGCUUACCAAGGCUACGAUGGGGAGCUGCCCGGAGAGGGUGAUAGGCCACACGGGAAGGGAGCCACGGUCCAGACUCCGGCGGGAGGCAGCAGUAGGGAAUAUUCCGCAAUGGGCGAAAGCCUGACGGAGCAAAGCCGCGUGAGUGAUGAAGGUCUUCGGAUCGUAAAGCUCUGUUAUUUGGGAAGAAGAGAUGUGUAAGUAACUGUGCAGAUAUUGACGGUACCUAAUGAGAAAGCACCGGCUAACUACGUG
Molecule: ribosomal RNA, 497 nt
Filed under: uncultured bacterium
Lineage: Bacteria
Description: partial 16S ribosomal RNA
Rfam family: Bacterial small subunit ribosomal RNA
Source: RNAcentral